Molecule: long non-coding RNA, 3295 nt
Organism: Cannabis sativa
Lineage: Eukaryota; Viridiplantae; Streptophyta; Magnoliopsida; Rosales; Cannabaceae
Exons: 2
Source: RefSeq, a predicted model, not a curated record
UUAUUUUAAAUAAAAUCAAAAGCAGGGUAGGAAUGAGUAAUCUGUAACUUUAGGUCCCAAUAUUCUUCUUGGGAUUGGUAAAACUAUUUUUUAUUUUCUUAUUUUUUUUUUAUUUUUUUAAAUCCCAACAAAAUAAAAGAAAAAGAAAAAAGAAACCCUUCAUUUCCCCUAUAAAUAUCACCUUCAAGCCUCACCUAAAACCUACACCUUUACUCCUAUCUCUCUUACCCAAACCAAACCAAUAAAACCUCUUUUCCUUUUUCCGUUACAGCAUUCAUUUUAAUGGCCGGAGUUUCUUUUGAUAAUUCCACCAAAACCCUUUUUCUCUCUAACCUUAUUGGUUAGGAUCCACAGGAAUCUAAAUUUAUGUAUAUAUGUAUAUUAUUGUACGUUUGGUGGCCGUGUUUAUGGAUACAUACAUGACCCUCUUUUUAUUCUUCCACAGCUUUCUUGAACUGCAUCUGAGAAAAGAAAGAGAGAAUCUUCACAAUUUUUUUUUUUUUUUUUUUUGAGAUGAAAGAAAGACUGCUUUUUGAAACUUUGGUUUAUGGAUACUUCUCUCUCUCUUGUUAAUUGAGUUGCGGUUCAAUAAAGCUGUGGGAAGAUACAAAUAGGGUCAAAGAAAAGGUUUUAUCAACAUCGGAAUUCAAGUAAUGGUGAAAUUGAUCUGUGAACUUUCGUCUGAGACAUGGGUUUUUUUUUUUAAAAAAAAAAACCCAACAUGAUGAAUGGCCAUUAUUAAAGAUUUGUUUUGAUAAUGAUUUUAUGUUGAUAAGUUUGUUCUUAUGUGCCUAUGGGAAUUAACCUUAAACUCAAUGUGCUUUUUUCAUGUGACUGAGAUUUAUGUCAUCAAAAAAUAAUUUUUUGUACCGAUCCAUGAAAAAUCUCUGGUCUAGGAGUAUGUAUAUAUGUCAGAACAUGGGGUUUUAACCAUGCAGACUUAAAGAACUAUGUCAGUCAUUAUAAAAAAAAUAUAAAUUAAAAUUAAAAUAUCCUCCUUUUCGGUGAAAACUUUCUCUUAAACAAUUCUUAUUAUAAAAUUAAGAACCAUUGAUCUGAAUUAUCUUGUACUUGAGAAAAUGCACAAUAUAACAAUAUAUAUAUGCUAUAUACAUUGUACUUUUUUGUUGUUGAUCAUGAUGUUUUCAUGGACUUUAUUUGUAUAUCUUUAGUUUAGAUUCUUGUCUCUGUUUUUUUUGGCAUUUUAGUUUUUUUCUUCUUACCAUAUAUUUUAGCAUGCUUUCACAAAAAAUGUUGACAGAUAUUCCAUGCACAGGCCUUGUAUAUCUGUUUUGUUUUUUCUUUUCUUGUGUGUGAAUCAAAUAUAUAUAUAUCCAUAUAUUUAUGUAUGCGAUCUGUAAAUAAUUUGUCGGUUCAUAAAGUAUUAUAACACAUACACACAUACAUAUAUAUGCACACACACAAUCCAACCCCUCAGAUUCUAUUAUAAGGCUUUCAAUAUAUAUAAUCUUUAAGUGAGUCGAUAAUUGAUUGCACAUAAUCGAUAGUUUGGCAUCUUCAAGGCUGUUUAUUUUUAGAUAGUUAAUGCUAUACACACACUGUCAUAUACUUAAUUUAAAGUAAAUGUAUAGCUAGGUAGGUUUUCAUUGUAAUAAGUAGUUUAUUAGGUUUACAUUUUACUUAGUUGGGAAUUAUUUGAAGAGAAAAAACAAAGACUUUUAUUUAGAUAGAUGUAUUAAUAUUGCGACUAACUGAUUAAUUAAUGACAUGAAACAAAUUUCAGUAGCUAAAUGUUCUUCUGGACCACAAGGUACUGUACAUAUAUAUAUACAUACAUGUAUAUAUCUUUACUGAACAUCAUGAAAUUUUACAUCAUUACAAUUUACCUUGCUUAUUAGUUUUGAAAAAGCAAUCAAGCUAAGAUCUAGUAACAGUUUGAAUACUUAAAAGAUAUAGAUCGAUCUUCUGGUUAGUUUAGUUUUGCUAAUAUAUAUUUAUAUAUAUAAAUAUAUAUUAUGUGUGUUUAUUAUAAUAAUAUGUAUAAUAGAAAAUACGAGUUAAUUAAGUAAAGCAAAGAAGAAAUUAAAUAAAGAAAGAGAGAAAAAAGUAUCCAAGAUAAUUUACCAUGCAUUGAGAAGAGUAAGAUAAUUAACCAAAGAAAAACUAGAAACUUUUGUGAGAAAAAGAACUGUCAAACCACUAAGAUGUACUCAUGUCUUCAUGUAUUUUCUGUGAUAAUAUACAGCAAACAACUUCAGCUUUUUCAUGUGCAUACACAAGCUGGUGUGCGAUAUAUAUUUUAUGUAUAUAUAUAUGCCAUGAUCAGUACUAGGAAAAAAUACUAAGCAUAUUUAUAAGAUAUUCCCAGGCAUAAAUACAUAUAUAUUAUGUAUACACUAUAGUAGCUCAAUCCUGUACAUAUAUAUGAGAGUAAAUAAAUACUAAGUAACAUAUAUUUAUAUAUAUAACAGGAUCUUAAUUUACAUGAAAUCCUUAGCUGGAUUUGUAUAUAUAGAUUCCCUUUGAGGUUUCACGGGGCCUCCAGUCUUGAUCCAAUUAAUAAGCCAACCUACUUUAUAUGAUCCAACAACCUUUAUUGUUUGGAUAUGUACACAUACAUACAUAUAUUUAUAUAAAUAUUUCUUGAUCUUACCCACUAAUCACACACCUAUGCUAAAUGCCACCCUUUCAUUUGCUGUUCCAUCUUCUUUAAACAAUUGUUUAUUUAAUAUAUAUAUAUUAUAUAAAAAAAAAAUAUAUGAUGCAUAAACCAUCUUUUGAACUGUUAUUCCUUUUUCUAAUUUGUUUUUUUCUGUGAUUAUAAUAUAUAAUAUAUAUGAACUCGUGAAUCAUUUGCUUUACUUUAGUGAAGAGUUUAAUUAAUGUAUAUACAUAAGGGCUUUUUUUUCUUUCUUUUCUCUCAAGUUUUUCUCAUCAUGAUCUUUAUGUUGAUAAUGUUUGUAGACUUAAAGCUAAACAAAGUGGAGACAAAGAAACUUUAUUUGAUCAAAGUUGAUUAAUCACUUACAGGUUAUCAGGAUUACAAGUCAUUAAUAUGAAGAAAAAGUGGCACUGACUUGUUAUUGAAUUAUUAAUUAAAUGAUAAUUAUGACCAUUGGGAGAGCUAGGGGUGUGGUGAAAAGUCUUAAACUAAUUAACUUUUUCUUACCCUGGAUUUUUGUGAAUAAUUAAAUUUCAUGAUGAAGAGGUUAAAAUCUCAAGAAUAGAGAAAGAAUUUUAAUUAAUGUGUUCAAUGUAUAAGAUGUGUUUCCUUACCAAGAAAAUGUAUAAUACGUAUAUAUAUAUAUAAAUUUAGUUUCCUAAAUUAUAUAAA